GUGCGUAAACGGAGCGAGUCGUGUCACAUGCGGACAGAUGCGCAGCGAGAGGCGGCGGUAACUUACUACCGCGUGAACUAGCAUAUCAUUAAGCGGAGGAAAGAACUAAAGAUUCCCCUAGUAACGGCGAGUGAAGAGGGAAAAGCUCAAAUUUAAAAUCUGGCGGUCUACGGCCGUCCGAGUUGUAAUCUAGAGAAGUGUUUUCCGCGCUGGACCGUGUACAAGUCCUUUGGAACAAGGCGUCAUAGAGGGUGAGAAUCCCGUCUACGACACGGACUGCCAAGCGCUUUGCGAUACACUCUCAACGAGUCGAGUUGUUUGGGAAUGCAGCUCAAAAUGGGUGGUAAAUUCCAUCUAAAGCUAAAUAUGGGCGAAAGACCGAUAGCGAACAAGUACCGUGAGGGAAAGAUGAAAAGCACUUUGGAAAGAGAGUUAAACAGUACGUGAAAUUGUUGAAAGGGAAACGCUUGAAGUCAGUCGCGUCUUCAGAAAUUCAGCCGGGCUUCUGCCUUGCGUACUUUUCUGUGGGACGGGCCAGCAUCAGUUUCGGCUGCCAGAAAAAGGUGGGAGGAAGGUGGCACCUCCGGGUGUGUUAUAGCCUCCCGUCGUAUGUGGCAGGCGGGACUGAGGACCGCAGCACGCCUUUAAUGGCCGGGGUUCGCCCACGUAACGUGCUUAGGAUGCUGGCGUAAUGGCUUUAAACGACCCGUCUUGAAACACGGACCAAGGAGUCUAACAUGCCUGCGAGUAUUUGGGUGGCAAACCCAUAUGCGAAAUGAAAGUGAACCGUUGGGACUUCUGUCAUGGAAGGCACCGACGCCCAGACCAGACCUAUUGUGACGGAUCUGAGGUAGAGCAUGUAUGUUGGGACCCGAAAGAUGGUGAACUAUGCCUGAGUAGGGUGAAGCCAGAGGAAACUCUGGUGGAGGCUCGUAGCGAUUCUGACGUGCAAAUCGAUCGUCCGAACUUGGGUAUAGGGGCGAAAGACUAUCGAUCAUCUAGUAGCUGGUUCUGCCGAGUCCCUUCAAG
This 1029-nucleotide ribosomal RNA is filed under the name Geastrum sp. RNAcentral's name for it is "partial large subunit ribosomal RNA". It matches the Rfam family "Eukaryotic large subunit ribosomal RNA", at positions 1 to 977 of the family's 3401-position model. Lineage: Eukaryota; Fungi; Basidiomycota; Agaricomycetes; Geastrales; Geastraceae. The record is from RNAcentral.